CUGAAUGAGAAGAUCGAUUUGUUUCGCUGUUGACGUCACGAUGAACCGAUCGCAAAUAGCUCGAACUGUUGAGCGACUGGUAUCUUCCAAUCCAGGGAUAACAGCAAGCGUUUGGACGUAGAAAUCUGCAGGAUUAUAGUUUAGAUUUUGUCUCAAGUUGUAUCAACCUUUCGAAGAAACCAAGGGCGCCAGAUGAAGAACCUUGAUAAGCAAUGCGACCCUCAGCCAACAGAACAAGACGAUCAAACAUGGCAAAUGUUUCCGACGAAGGCUGAUGGAUAGUACAAACCACCGUUUUACCGCUGAUGGAAACCUUUCAACAUAAAAACAAGUCUCUCGGCAGAGAAAGUGUCAAGACCGGUAGUUGGUUCAUCGCAGAAGAGGACAGGGGGAUCAGUUAGUACCUGUAUAAAAGAAGUCUAAAAAACUUGAGACGUAAAAAGGAAGAAAACAAAAUUUACUUGGGAAGCAAAAGAGAGUCGUUUGCGCUCUCCUCCGGACAAGCCUUUAGUCACGCCUGGCACUCCAAUCACUACAUUUUGACAUUUCAUUAAUCCCAGUUCAGUCAAAAGCUCAUUGACACGCAAGUUUUGCUCGUAUGGCGUCCAAUUGCCAUUCAUUUUGAGACGGGCAGUGAAAAGGAGGUGUUCCCUGGCUGUCAACGAACCAACAAAGAUGUCAUCCUGAUAAACGUAGCCGCUCAUGUCACAAAAAGAUCGAUCGAUCAGCCGGCCAUUGACGCGGAUUUCGCCAUCAACCACCACUCCAGCUACAAUUAAAAGUUCAAAGAUGUGUUAACCCUAAAACAUUAGAAGUUGCAAGAAAGGGAUAUAUCUUACGAGGACAUCUGCAAGCCAAUGCAUUGAGCAAAGUAGAUUUCCCUGCUCCACUUUGAAAAUUACAAUUCACUGGGAUUAGUUACUGAACUCGCACGUUCAUGCUUUGCUUCAUCGUUGUUACCUAGCGCCCAUUAAGGCGACGAGUGAACCGGGUUGUAAAGCUCCGCGAACUGCAAAAAUUGACAACCGAAACGGGAGGAAAAAAAAUCAAUUUGUUUUGGUUGUAUGAGCAAUGGAAUCCGUAUGAUAACGUCUAGCUGCAAUACCAUUAUUCAAGACUCGUUUGAAGGGGACCGCAUUGCCUUUGGCUUUAGGUGCCGUCACGUAGACGCUCAAAUCACGCCAGGUGAGAGUGGCUCCGAUAGGACGAUCCGUAUGGCUACUAGGUCUCGUCAACGACAAGAAUGCUAUCUACGAGUACGGCAAGAGGUACUGUAUAACGAGAAGAUCCAUUAAUUAGUUUCUAAUACCUCUUCAGCCUGUUUUUCGGCUAUAUUCGGCUGUUGGAAUAAUCUUCCGAUGGGAGUGAAGUCGGAAGAGGAAAACUCAGUCGACGACGUUUCGGACGUCGUAACAGGCGUGGUGGGUUCCAUGAUUGACGGAACCGUCUACCUGACUGACAGGACGUCCGAACGAGCUGAAUUUUUUUGAGAGUGUGCGAAAACUUUCAAGUUCCGCCCUAUAAGGUCUCAUCGUCUACACCAAAUUUCUAUGGGCUCUAUGGGGCCUCUGUUCAAAGGACCUGCUGCUAAGCUGCUAAAAUAAACACACAUCAAAUAUCCGGAAUUCUUUACGAAGAAAAAAAAAAUCUAUCCACCAUUAGGCAAUGAACUCGUGGUCCUUCACGGGCAUUUCAAUGCUUUACGCAAUAACAAAAAAAACCAAAAAAAAGGUACCAAAUGUUUACCAGAAGCUAUAAGUGGUAGCAGUGGGGGAGAAAAUGAGGGAGUCCCAAAUUUCAGCUCGGCGUGUGGUAUUUCCGGAUGCGACGAAGCCAAGGCAGCCGUUUUCUCCUACUCUUUUCCUAUACAUCCCCUCGGUUCCACGUGUACGCGCAUACGUGUAAACGGGCAACAGGAGAAUGGAAACAUUCGUUAGAAAUUCUUUACUGGAACGACGAACAGACAAACGAAAUAAACGACCUAGAAAAAGAAAAAAAAAAGAAAAUAAAUCUAUUGAAACUCGACGACUUGGACUGGGCAUAGUCACGGAAACUUAACGGGGAUAAAAUGAACAACACGUGGGCUCUCUUCCGUCUUGUUUUCCAUUCGUCAUGGUAUUCGCUCGAUCAUGUUACACAACGUAACGGAUACAUAGUAUGUAUAUAUAUAAACUGCAUAGUAGCCGACAUUGAGGAGGCCAACUCCGAAAGGUUCGUGUAGGCGAAAGAAGCGCAUCACAAAGGAUUCCUUGCGGACGUAACAUGGGCAACGUGAAAGAAGGGAUGAAGAAAAGGAAGGAUAAACAAGAGAAAGAGAGAGAGAGAUGCGGAUACACUUUCAAAUUCACAGCGGAAGGAAAAUGUUGCAACUAAACGACGGGCUUCUGAAAUUUCCUUUUUUUUUUUUAACAAUUU
RNAcentral lists this long non-coding RNA (2415 nucleotides) under Daphnia magna. Its description in RNAcentral is "uncharacterized LOC116933352". Lineage: Eukaryota; Metazoa; Arthropoda; Branchiopoda; Diplostraca; Daphniidae. The record is from RNAcentral.